ACGGAAGGCAGCAGUGGGGAAUAUUGCACAAUGGGCGCAAGCCUGAUGCAGCGAUGCCGCGUGAGGGAAGAAGGUUUUCGGAUUGUAAACCUCUGUCAACAGGGACGAAAAUGACGGUACCUGUGAAGGAAGCUCCGGCUAACUACGUGCCAGCAGCCGCGGUAAUACGUAGGGAGCAAGCGUUAUCCGGAAUUACUGGGUGUAAAGGGAGUGUAGGCGGGACUGUAAGUCAGAUGUGAAAUAUGCCGGCUCAACCGGCAGACUGCAUCUGAAACUGCGGUUCUUGAGUGAAGUAGAGGUAAGCGGAAUUCCUAGUGUAGCGGUGAAAUGCGUAGAUAUUAGGAAGAACACCAGUGGCGAAGGCGGUUAGCUGGACAAUAACUGACGCUGAGGCGCGAAAGCGUGGGUAGCAAACAGGAUUAGAUACCCUGGUA
Molecule: ribosomal RNA, 434 nt
Filed under: uncultured Ruminococcus sp.
Lineage: Bacteria; Bacillati; Bacillota; Clostridia; Eubacteriales; Oscillospiraceae
Description: partial 16S ribosomal RNA
Rfam family: Bacterial small subunit ribosomal RNA
Source: RNAcentral